AUACAGUCAUCAGUGACAGCCAAUGAGGGCAAAUAUCUGCUCUGCCUGGUUACUUUGUUUGUUUCUACAGCGCUUUUUUCAAACCAACCAGCAGGGAUUUGGGGUCCAGUUCUUCUCAGAAAAAGAAAUGGGCUUAGAAACACUCAAUUGUUUUUAAAGGCAGCCAGUUGAAGAGGCGGUGAAGAGGGAGCUGUCACCAUGGUACAGCACUAUCUCCCCCGGAGCAUCAGGCUUCCUGUAACAUCAUCCCCCCAGGUUGCAAACAGGGUCAGAGCAACAGAGAUGGUCGAGGAGAGGGAGGAGAAGGAGGUGGAGGAGGGGACUGAACAAUGUGAAGGAUUGUCGUCCUGCAUUUUUUUUCCUCCCCCUCCUCCCUUUCUGCUUCAGCACAGACUUCUUCUGCAACAUGAUCUAAAGUCAGACAAUAAUCACAACCCCCAGGUGAUGGCUGGCACACCUUCAUAUGUGCAGCAUCCUCCAGACAAGGCAAAGUUUAUGUUUUACAAGAUGUGUAUAUUCUAAUUUCAAAGUGAAAACAAGAUACUUCUCAAUUCUCCAUCUUACUUUGUGGUUUUCUGGCAUAAGCACAUUCCUCUACAUUACCUCAGCAUCACUGGGGUGAAACGGAGACUCACAGAUGUGAUGAAUCCUUAAAGUCCAGACCUAAGCCCACUAAGGUUUAAUAAUCUUUCUUUAAUUUGAACAAUUAACGUAAGUAAUACAACGCUUAGCUAGGUCUGUCUUUUUCUUUGAAUUGAUUGUACAGAUAUUUUUCUGAUUCUCUUCUUGAUAUCACAAAUCUAUAAUGGUAUGAAUUUCAAUACGCACUGCAGAUAGAUUUUUGACCUGGGUGGAAAAUAUCCAUCCACAUGAAUAAAUAAUUGUAUAAGCGUCACUUUCAAAAUAAAACGUGAUGUCAUAUUAGAGUAGCUGCUAUUGUUCUAACUCCAGAAUUGUUUAGAAAAAGACUCAGGCCUUGGCUUGAGUUGUCAGGCUGCUGCAUGUUUUUGAAAGAUAUUCAGAACUGCUUAUUGUUGUUUCUAUACAUUUACCAUCCAGAUAACUUGAAUUUGUGUGUCUUAAAUCCAGCAUGAUUGCAUUGUACAUUUGCACUGUUUUCUAGGUGUGGUGGUGUUCACUAUAUUUAUGUCAACAUGCUACAGUUAGGCUGUAAUGUGUUUUUGUUGUAAUUGAUUUUGAUACUUUGAAGUGGUUUUGAAUAAACUUGUGACAUGUCACCUGUGUUUGGUA
Labrus bergylta (ballan wrasse) is the source of this 1251-nucleotide non-coding RNA. The record is from RefSeq and is a predicted model, not a curated record. Lineage: Eukaryota; Metazoa; Chordata; Actinopteri; Labriformes; Labridae.